Molecule: long non-coding RNA, 5313 nt
Organism: Alligator mississippiensis (American alligator)
Lineage: Eukaryota; Metazoa; Chordata; Crocodylia; Alligatoridae
Exons: 3
Source: RefSeq, a predicted model, not a curated record
AUGAGGUGCAGGUGGAGAGGAUCAGGCCCCUGGGUGCCUCACCAGCUGGAAGCAGUAAAGGGGCUAGCUGAGAGAGCAUAAGGGAGGUGGUUGGGGUGGCUUUAAUAGUUGGGAGGAAGAAAGGAUGACUGGAUGGGUCUUGCUUGUUAAAGCUGAAGGAUUGGGCUUUGGUUUUUGUUUGUUUUGUCUUUGUUUGAGGAAGGCUUGGAAUGGGUGAUGUGUUAAGGAGCUGGAAAGACCUGUGCCUGUGCAAGCCCAGGUUGCAGGGGCCUGACUAGUUCUCAGACCUUCAGAGCCAGGUGGACAGUAUCUCUGCUUACUGCCUCGCAGCUUGAAGUCAGGCCUGAACUGCUGAAGUGGGAGUUGCAGAAUAGGCUUUUGAAGCUGGGUGAAGAGACCUGGGAAGUCUGCAGUCUGCUGGAAGUUGGAAACUUCAUGGAACAGACUGACCAAAGAAUUGUCAGCUGUUGCUUAACUAAGGCAGUGGAAGAUGGACAGCCAUCCCAGGUGCCUUUGUAACAAGAGACCAGUCGCAUGCAACUGCUCUUCUCUCCAGCAGUGGGCCAGCCACCUGUUCCCCAAACCUUGGGACUUGUCAGGCUGUGAAGAGAUGAGCCUGCAGCCCUUCAGGGAUCAGGACUUCUUUUGCAGGCUUGGACAAAGACUUAAGAUGGUGCCCAAGAUGUUUUACCCUCGAGCUUUACUGACCACUUCAUGCUAAAAGGGGUGGUGAGUAUGGAGAAAUGUUGUGUAAUGAUGGGUCUUCUGGAAAUACAAAUAUGUGGUUGGAGGAGUGUAGGGGCUGUAGAGAGCUCUUGUAAGGGGUGGUGGGCACUGUAAAUCUGUGUUAGGAAUACGUGGGAAUGGUGGCGCACAGUGCUGAUGUCUCAGCAGUAUGUGCAUAGUGCUGAAGGAAAGGAACUGAGCAGUUUGUCAUGAGAGCGGGUGGUAGAGGAUGAGGUCAAGGAGGGAGAGCUUGAGGUGAAUUUGUGCUCCAGUGCCUCUUAAUGCCUGUGGAGUGGGGCAGGGCAUUCGGGACUGACCUGGAUGUCAUCAAGAGGGCCACAGGAAAGGCUUGGUUUGUUUUAUUCAUGUCCCGUGAACAGAGGGCUGGUCUUGCUACUGUUGGAUAGGUGUAAGGACUUGGCUGUUAAAAGGGCGCAGCAGUACACUAGACUGCUGAGGGAAGUUGUGGAGCCUUCGUCACUGGGGGUGUUGAAAAAGAGGUCGGGUAAACAUUGAUCAGGAAUGAUCUAGGAGUAACUGUGCCUAUGCUUUACUCUGCUUGUGUCUCAUGAGGCAACCAGUGAAGCCCAGAAGCAUGAGGCUGGGAAAGACUCUUUUCUUUGUCCUUUGCUGUGUGUUGUGGUAGGCAUGUUCCUUCCUCAGGAGCACUGAGCGACUGUCACCAAGGCUGGAGACUGCCAAUACUCCUUCCUCAAGUAAAACCUGUAGGUUUCUGGCUAGAGGGACUUGCCUCUUUGCUCAGGGUCAAGCUGGUCACCCAGUUUGAGGUCAGGAAGAAGUUUUACCCCUUGGUCAGAUGGGUACAGAUUGUGGGGAUGAGUGCCUUCUUGUAGCAGAGGCAUGGACCUCUUCCUUGUGUGCCAUUCAGCAUCUUUUAACAACCCUUGCAGAAGGAGGACAUGGGUUACUAUUGCCACAGGUGAAGCAAAAGGACAUCUUGGGGUCGUAUGAUUUGUGGGUGUGACAAUGCCAUUGGUUUAGUUCUAGUAGUAAUAUGGUGCUGUGGGUAGAGAUGACCCUGCCUUGGGCAGGGGCUGGACUAGAGGACCUCUUGUGGUCCCUGCCAGCUCUGUCUUUCCGUCUUUUGAGGAAGAAGUGGUACCCUGAUCAGAAUGCCCCUGUGGAGAAGGGGAUGAUCUGUGGAAGCCAUGCAAAGAUUUCACCAUGGGAUGUUGAGAGGAGGGAUGUGGGCAUGGUAAUGCAGCCAUCUUAAUGGUGAUCCCUACUGUGCCUUUAGGUUAUUCCUGCUGCCUCGCUAUUCGCUGCUCUUUGCCUUAAUGCUCUUUCUAAUGACAUGCCCCGUGACUUGUUUCUUGCUAGAGGAUGUUUUGAUCUUCAUGUAGGCUGUACAGCACGCUUUCUGCCUUCUAUUUUUUUAUUAAGAAAAUAUUAAAUAUUUCUUUAUCUCUCCACACCGCCUCCUUUUGUCAGUAUCUCACAAUUAACAAUAUCAUACAUGAAUCAAUAAUGCAUGACACAAUCGUGGGAACUUCCUGUCUCCUUUCUGCAUCACAAUUUCUUCACAAUUGGAUCACCAGAUCCUCCUCUUACAUAAUCAGCAAUGCAAUCCAUGACAAUACCUUUUGCUCUCUCAUACAGGUUCUUGGGACACUUUCAACGUUUAUAAUGCAUCCUGAUAUUUUACAAAAUCUUUCUCUGUGGUCUCGUAUUUCCCUUCUUUUUAUUUGCCUUUACCACAUUUUCCACACGUCUUUAUUUAUAGCAUACACAACUCGUUUUUGUUUCAGUAUUACUGUUUUCCUCACUUGGUUUUCACCUUCCCUGAUUCCUGACGCAUUUCCUUUCCCUACUUCCCGAUGCUUUUUCUUUCCCUCCUCUCUCUCCCUCCUUUUCUUUCCCUACCCUAUCCUGGUUGGCUGGAAUAAUUCCUGCCACCGAACGCCUUGCCAUGCCCUACUCCCUUUGCCCUUUUCUCCCUUUCCCUUCAUGUAGUCUUUAAUCUCAUAAUACCCCAGCUGUACACAUUCCCUUUGUGUAAAGCAUACCCCCUUCCCUAUCAACAAGCACCUCACUUUCCAUAAUGGCACCCUCAUCCCCAUCAAAAUCACCCGCACUUCCCAUUGCCUUUCUCCUUGUUUCACCGGUCCAUAAACCACGGUCUCAUAGGACACCCCCUGUGCCCACCCUAUCGCCCUUAGAAACUUCCCUACUCUUCCCCAUACCCUUCUUGCAGACGUGCACUCCCAAAAACCAUUUUCUUCCUUUGUACAGAACUCCCCCGGGCUUUCUGCCGAUCUCACCAGCCUCCAUCGGUGUAGUACUUCUCUGACUGAUAGCACCCGCCUAACUAUACACCACGCUAUUUCCCUGUGAAACCCUUUCCACCUUGUGUCUUCUAUUCCCCUCCAUACCUCUCUCACCUGUUCCCAUGCCAAAUUCCCCACAUCCGUUAACCCAUCUUCCUCCCUAAUUGCGUUGAAAAUUACCCUCGCCUUUUGUAAUCCUUCCAUCCCGUUUUACCAAACCUUUUGCCCUGACAAAUGCCGCCAGCCUAUCCGUGUGCUGUGAUGGUUUCCCUGCCCACAUGCCUGUCCACCUUUCUCCGAAUAUCCCCCAUUCCCUCAAAACUCUACCUCCCCAGUACUUUACCCAUUUCCCCACUAUUCCUUCCCCUCUCUGUGCCUCCCUGUCUAAUGCUGCCACCCUGUGCCCAUAUAUGAACGUUUCCAUCUCUGGAAAACCCCAUCCCCCUAGCUCCCCCGCUUUAUAAAGCUCCCUACGUGCUACCCUCUCUCCCUUACUUCCCCAGAAAAACACACACAAUUCCCUUUGUAUCCUCCUCGCUUGCCUCCACGAUGGAGGGUAUACCCACCCUAUGAACAGCAGGAUGGGUAAGAUCACAGACUUGAUUAGCUUUACCUUCCCUGUCUUAGACAAACCUCUCCCUCCCCAUAUUCCCAGCACCUUUUUUCCUCAUCCUAUUCUAUGCUUCUGGAGGAAUAGCACGUCCUUUAACUUUUAGUACCCUCUUAAUCUCCUCCCAUUUACCUCCAUCUCGGCAAAUUUCUCAUGUUCCACAAUAUUAAAUGCAUUCCCCUGUCUUACUCCCCAAGUGUCCUCCUCCCUCCCCCCUCAUACCUCCAUUUCUUCUCAACCCCCACCCUCCACAUCCCUGUUGCUUAAGCCUAGCUUCCAAUAGCUGAUGGGCUAUUAGAAAAGCUGCCCCCACCCAGACUCUCCUCCUGAUUUCACUCUUGCACCAUUUGUCAGUCUUGCUUCUUCCCCUAUAUCUUUUCCUUUCUCACUCCUCUUCUCUUGUUCUUCCCGUUUUUGCUUUGGUAUCCCCACUUUCACUCUUUGGUUGGUUGCAUGAUGUUUCCAGCAAGGGCUUUCCCUGCCCAACAGAAUUUCCAAAUAGUUACUUACACCAAUUAACCCCAUCCCCCUUGCACUCCCUGUCACUUUUUCUCCUGCCUCCCUCUCCUCUACUGUGGCUGUCCAUUGCUCUACAACAAUUUCUACAGUUGAUGUAGCUAGCUUCUCUACUUCCUCAAAUAAAUUCAUCUUUGUCCUGAGCUCCAGUACUCUCCCAGCCAUCUUCCUUCCCAUACUGAAUGUUUCUAUCCUCUGAAGGGAUACCAGGGACUUGCUGUCCCCUUCCAUCUUCUCUCCCUCCCGUUCUGACACUUCCUUCCUUAUGAGUGGGGGCACUCUUCAAAAUUGUGCCCCUCCUCCCAACAUGUUUUUGCGCAUUACUUCAGCCUUGCAUACCCCUGCCCUAUACCCCACCCCACAGCAUCAGCAACUUGUUGUCCAUUGACAAUAUGUUUCAAUGGGCCCUGGUCCAUUAUAUUUACUAUGUCACCUUGGUUGACCAAAAUAAUAGAUAUAUUCCCUAUGGGGACCCAAACAGAAGCUGGAAGGAAGAUGUUUGAUUCCUCAAUGAUCUCUCGCCACUCCAGCUCUCCGUGAACUGGUCCAUAUUUUGUUCUUAUUGAAAGCUCUGUCCACCCAAAGGACUCUCUUUUUCCUUUAGCCUCCAGACAAUGUUGGAUGUCCUCCAGUUCAAUUACAUCAUUGAACGUUCUUAAAACAGCCCUCUUUCAUGGGAGUCUGCUCUGGCUUGAAAGCGCAGUUCUGUUAAUUGUCUCUUCCAUGCUAAUUCCUCUGCAUGCCUCUCCCAAAAGACACUAUAUGCCUUCCUUUCCCUAAAACGUUCUGUCCCAGAUGCAAUAAUUUUCAUGUGCCACCAGGAUGCUUACAGGUUUUCUUUUAUUAAUAAGGUAACGAAUUUAAAAUGCCCAACCUCAACCAAACUUUCCACCUUGCAACACAAAACCCAACAGAACCAUCUCCAGAUUUAGAAGCAUCUACAACCCUUUAUCUUUCAGCCACAGAUACCUUGCACAACCUGGUUCCAUGUCACCUUACACAUUGGUAAGUCAUAUACCCAACAUGUUAAAGAUUUCUGUUAUCUGUAACACAUUUAACAAAAGUGUGUAUGUAUGUAUUUACAACUGGCUUAUCUUCAUCCCCACUGCUUCACCUCUUACACAUCCCUUAUCAUAAUCGUCAUCCCUCGACACCACACUUGCCGCCCCCCCC